Molecule: ribosomal RNA, 1326 nt
Filed under: Enterococcus faecium
Lineage: Bacteria; Bacillati; Bacillota; Bacilli; Lactobacillales; Enterococcaceae
Description: bacterial SSU rRNA
Rfam family: Bacterial small subunit ribosomal RNA
Source: RNAcentral
AAAGGCGCUUUCGGGUGUCGCUGAUGGAUGGACCCGCGGUGCAUUAGCUAGUUGGUGAGGUAACGGCUCACCAAGGCCACGAUGCAUAGCCGACCUGAGAGGGUGAUCGGCCACAUUGGGACUGAGACACGGCCCAAACUCCUACGGGAGGCAGCAGUAGGGAAUCUUCGGCAAUGGACGAAAGUCUGACCGAGCAACGCCGCGUGAGUGAAGAAGGUUUUCGGAUCGUAAAACUCUGUUGUUAGAGAAGAACAAGGAUGAGAGUAACUGUUCAUCCCUUGACGGUAUCUAACCAGAAAGCCACGGCUAACUACGUGCCAGCAGCCGCGGUAAUACGUAGGUGGCAAGCGUUGUCCGGAUUUAUUGGGCGUAAAGCGAGCGCAGGCGGUUUCUUAAGUCUGAUGUGAAAGCCCCCGGCUCAACCGGGGAGGGUCAUUGGAAACUGGGAGACUUGAGUGCAGAAGAGGAGAGUGGAAUUCCAUGUGUAGCGGUGAAAUGCGUAGAUAUAUGGAGGAACACCAGUGGCGAAGGCGGCUCUCUGGUCUGUAACUGACGCUGAGGCUCGAAAGCGUGGGGAGCAAACAGGAUUAGAUACCCUGGUAGUCCACGCCGUAAACGAUGAGUGCUAAGUGUUGGAGGGUUUCCGCCCUUCAGUGCUGCAGCUAACGCAUUAAGCACUCCGCCUGGGGAGUACGACCGCAAGGUUGAAACUCAAAGGAAUUGACGGGGGCCCGCACAAGCGGUGGAGCAUGUGGUUUAAUUCGAAGCAACGCGAAGAACCUUACCAGGUCUUGACAUCCUUUGACCACUCUAGAGAUAGAGCUUCCCCUUCGGGGGCAAAGUGACAGGUGGUGCAUGGUUGUCGUCAGCUCGUGUCGUGAGAUGUUGGGUUAAGUCCCGCAACGAGCGCAACCCUUAUUGUUAGUUGCCAUCAUUCAGUUGGGCACUCUAGCAAGACUGCCGGUGACAAACCGGAGGAAGGUGGGGAUGACGUCAAAUCAUCAUGCCCCUUAUGACCUGGGCUACACACGUGCUACAAUGGGAAGUACAACGAGUCGCGAAGUCGCGAGGCUAAGCUAAUCUCUUAAAGCUUCUCUCAGUUCGGAUUGCAGGCUGCAACUCGCCUGCAUGAAGCCGGAAUCGCUAGUAAUCGCGGAUCAGCACGCCGCGGUGAAUACGUUCCCGGGCCUUGUACACACCGCCCGUCACACCACGAGAGUUUGUAACACCCGAAGUCGGUGAGGUAACCUUUUGGAGCCAGCCGCCUAAGGUGGGAUAGAUGAUUGGGGUGAAGUCGUAACAAGGUAGCCGUAUCGGAAGGUGCGG